AGAGAGAGAGAGAGAGAGAGAGAGAGAGAGAGAGAGAGAGAGAUUGGAGAAAAAACUUUUCCGAACUUCGAAUUCCGCCUUCAGUUGCAGACUCGAGAGUCACCGUGAUCAGUACAGAAGGGACUUUGGAUUGGCUGUAACUGAAGUCACAGGCAGUGGUGAGCUGCAGUACAUGGGUAUGAGGAUCGUCUAGAAGAGCAUCAGGUUCUCGUUGUGUGGCCCUGCUUCAGAGAGGACUCCCACAAAGAGUAAUAGAACAAAUGGACAUUUGCUUUCAUUUUAAACAUCAUAUACUCUGUUUUGAAACAUUUUAGCUUAAAAAUCUUGAAUUUAGUCAGACAGUGGUGGUUCAUUCCUUUAAUUCCAGCAACUGGGAGGCAGAGGCAGGCUGAUCUCUGAGUUUGUGGCCAGCCUGGUCUAUAGAGUAAGUUUCAGGACAGCCAGAGCUACACAAAGAAAUCCUGUCUUGAAACAACAACAAACAAACAAAAACUGAUUGUAACUCAAGAAAACAGCAACUGGAAACACGUCUGACUUAACAUAUUCCAAAACUUUUCCUUAAUUCUUUAAGCAAAUUAACGUACUCAAUCUUUCCAGCGGAACAACAAGCUCCCUACAGUUCUCAUUAAAUGAAGAAACUGAGAAUUAACCCAAUAACUCUGUGUGCCUCACUGCUGUUUGGGCCUGCCACAAAAGUGUGUACCGGCAUCAUAACCCUUUUAAGUCACACACACAGGAGCAUUACAGGGGAUGAAUUCUUUUCCUGGAUGAAAGAAUUUAAACAUUUUCAUAUCAAAGAAAAAUAAAGUGGUGAAGUUUUCAUUAAAGAGCUAGACUGUGUCAGGUAGAAAGCAUGACACUGAUAGGUGACAGGUUUUUUUUUGUGACAAAAUAUAUCUUCUCUAGUGUUUCUCAGAAACACGGACAUACGUGUGUGUGUGUGCGCGUGCGUGCGCGCACAACUGUGUUAUACAGAGAAUGAUGUGGAGUUGAGAGAUGGCUCAGUGGGUAAAGGAUGAGGCUGAAGAUCCAAGUUUGAUCUUCAGAUCCCACAUAAAAAAACAGAUAGGACGGCACGCAUCUUUAGCCGCAGCACUCAUUCGUGGUGACAAAGGGCAGAAAACUGGAGCAUCUAUUUGAAUUUUCAGGCCUGGAUGUCACAGCACAACAAUGACGAGGACAAGUGAGACACAGUAGAAGAUUCCUGAAGUGUAAGAGGUCUCUCCAGAACCAGGAUUCAGCAAUGAAAAGCACCAGGAUUCUGAAGUGGAGAAGAACCAACAACAUUCAGUCGCCUACCCUUACACACUGUCCACCUCAGGUUGGCUCUAGCUGGGAGUUACUUCUGGUUCCUGAAUUCUGACUCUGUCUCCCAAGGUUAAGCGCUCUACCACGGAGUUACAGACUCGGCCCAGAUUUUGCAGAUUUACAACUCAAAAGACACGAAGUAAAACUGCUGUAACACAUGAGCAUGAAAGAGAGCAAUGAUAUAAGAUUGAAAAGGUGAUGAAACCUUUCAAACCUCCAGGCUUUUGUUGAAAGAGAUUAAUAGCGACUCCUCACUUUGGAACGGCAAUAAAAUUGGGAAGUCUCAUCCUGUGCCCCGUUGAAACCAUGUUUCCAGCACAGAUGCCAAAGAAAGUUCAGCCCACCUUCUCAAAUACUCAAUGAUGCCCUGAAACCAGAUACUGCAGACUCUCCAGAGCACCCUUGGGAUCAAUGCUCAGCCAUGCCCUGGAAACAGUCCCACUGGGCUGGGACAGCAGCUCCAUAAUUCAUCAGGCACCAGAUCAAGAUUGAUCCCAGAGAUGCUGACCUGCCUGGCAAGUGUUCCCCAACUGGGGUAUGUUUCUAGCCGCUUAAGAAUGAAUCUGAAGUCCCGGUUAUAAAGCAAUGUGAUCUCCAUCCUUAAAUGGGAGUGGAGGGGAAAACCUUUGGGGAUAAGAUUCUUUCCUUCCAUCCUUCUCUAAGUGACUUCAUCAUUGUUUUGUUGCUGUGAUGAAACACCAUGACUGAGGCCACUUAUAAAAGUAAGCAUUCACUUAGGGGGACGCUUACAGUUUCAGAAAGUUAGCCCGGGAUCAUCAUGGCAGGGAGCAUGGAGCUGUAGCUGUAGCUGGGAGCAAACGCCCCAAGCUGCAGGCAGGAGGCAGAAGGGAAAGCCAGACACCUCAGAGCUCACUCCCAAUGACACCCAUCCUCCAUCAAGGCCGCGACUCUCAAUCCUUCCCAAACAGUCCAUCAACUGGGAACAAGACGUUUAACUACAUGAGCCCAUGGGGGUCAUUCUCACCCAGACCACCACACUAACACUACAGAGAGACGGAGAGACACACAGUAGAGUGCAUGCCCAGACACAUGUGCAUAUAAAGACUGAACUACUGGAAGAGCCGAAGCUGCCACACUGAAUCACUAGAUAGCCCAUGGAAGAGAAGAUUCUGGGCUAACUGCACAUCAAAACCACCUACCUUCAGGGCUCCUCAACUGAAUACGGUAGAAUAAACCCUUGAAUUUACUUUUAAUUUUUCCGUCACCAGAUUUUUGAUUUUCUUUUUUUUUGGCCUUCCAACUACCCAUUUUUCUCCAGUGAUGAAUACUAAGACAGUUUUAAAUCUAUAAGGGUCAGAGUCAAUCCCUGCAUUUGGGCAAGGAACCAUCUCCUUACUUGGCAUUUCAAGUGAGCCAAGUGAAGCCCUGACUCACUUGGAAGUGUCUUGGGAGUUGCACAAAUGUACGCAAGGCAUCUCUAAUUCAUCUUUGGCAUCUCUGCCAUCUAUUUAGAUGCCUCACACACACAGAGUCUGUCUUAGCCCGCGUAGCCCUCCCACGGCACUAGGAAUGUGCCACAGUGCUUGGGUUCAGCACCCAGGCUUAGUGGAAGUACAAAUUUGAUGCAGUUCGACUUUCCUAACCUCCAGUUUACAGUCGAACGCUGCCUUUUUAAUGCUGACAAGGAAAUCAGAUUGGACGACCCUGGGCAUACAGCUUCACAACGUGUGUAAUCCUGGCUUUGCGGCUGAGGGAAGUCGAUGAGAGGAGCAUUGAUCGCCUUGCAAACACAGCUUAAAAACUCUCUGCCAGGGAUUUGGGUAUUCAAGUCACUUGGUGCUAUGACAGGUUUUCAAACCUGGCUCUUACGGAGGGAGCAGCAGCUUUCUAGAUUCACCUUAGCUCUGCUUACAUACGCAUACAAACCGUGUCUUCUAGAUGGAAAAAGCACUCUGUGCCUCCACAGCUCCGCCCGUGUGUUUGCUCAAGGCUGAGUGAAAUGGCCUGCAUGUCAAUGACACGGCGCUGUGUCACCGGGUGAAGAAAGCCCUGCAGAAGGGUGGGAGUAUGAGUCACUUCAGGAAAAUAUUGCCCUCAGCUAGAUGGUUUUGAUGCUCAUCAGAGCUCUUUGGGGCAAUUUGCUCUCGAGUGUAUUCUUUAAUCAAGGAAGCAAAUGUGAUCAAGAAAUUACCUGAAAGUCUCACAAUACAUAAACACGUUAGUGCAGAUACACACAAAAAUGAAAAAUAUUACACCGCCAAAUAUAGUAUGUAUAAAAAUAUGUAUUGCAAUAUUUCAUGCUUGUUAGUGGAAAUAUUUUUACAACGUGUCUCCCAA
This is a non-coding RNA of Peromyscus maniculatus bairdii (prairie deer mouse), 3606 nucleotides long. Lineage: Eukaryota; Metazoa; Chordata; Mammalia; Rodentia; Cricetidae. The record is from RefSeq and is a predicted model, not a curated record.